This 254-nucleotide ribosomal RNA is filed under the name uncultured bacterium. RNAcentral's name for it is "partial 16S ribosomal RNA". It matches the Rfam family "Bacterial small subunit ribosomal RNA", at positions 524 to 776 of the family's 1533-position model. The record is from RNAcentral.
UACGAAGGGUGCAAGCGUUACUCGGAAUUACUGGGCGUAAAGCGUGCGCAGGCGGUUUUGUAAGUCUGACGUGAAAGCCCCGGGCUUAACCUGGGAAUUGCGUUGGAGACUGCAAGGCUUGAAUCUGGCAGAGGGGGGUAGAAUUCCGACGUGUAGCAGUGAAAUGCGUAGAGAUGUGGAGGAACACCGAUGGCGAAGGCAGCCCCCUGGGUCAAGAUUGACGCUCAUGCACGAAAGCGUGGGGAGCAAACAGG